GAGAAGAGAAGAGAAGAGAAGAGAAGAGAAGAGAAGAGAAGAGAAGAGAAGAGAAGAGAAGAGAAGAGAUCCCCAUAAUCUUGUACUAACUUUUCCAGGCUUGGAUUAUCCAGCCUUCUCAACUGGCAUAUGCUUUGCAGCAGCAAACUCCAACCCCAUAUUCAUGUAUAUGUCUGAGUAGCCAACACGGUCUGUAACAAGCGCUGAAGCCAAAUAUUAACUCAACUUAAUAACCAUGCACGAGCUCUUCUCUCAAAUAUAAACAUUAAUUAGUUGAUUGUAUAUUCUGUCCCAAAGACCAAGCUUGUUCUAACACUUCCCUGUGCUUCUUCACUUCUUGUCUGACAUACUUUGCUGAUCAUCCCUCCAUUUCCCCUCUCCUUUCAGAUGCUAUAUAUAUAUCUAUCUAUAUCUAUCUCAAGGUGUUCAUGCUGUAAGUGUAGUGGUUUUUUCUCCAAGGAUUUUGCUCUGUCUUUUUCUGAGAUUUAGAACCUGAGUAUUUAUAGUACCUUCAACUGAAAUGAAUUCUCGUCUUCUGUCACACUUCUGUCCCUCAGCAGUUUGCUGCAUCUUCCCCAACUUGUUUCUGGUUUCAGUUUUUUCUUUUUUUUGUUGUGCUUUUUUUUUUCCUCCCAAAUAUUUCAUUUCAAAAUUAGGUACUUUAUUAUUUCUGUAUGUUUACUUUUUAAUUUACAGUCUUGCAGCUCUGGUUAUUUUCAACACUGUGUGUGGUUUAAAAACUUACUUUAAUGAUGUUUAAAAUAUUUCCUCUCCUGCAUGUUAAUUUUUUGGGGUUAAUCUCUCAACUGCCAUGUCCAAGAUGAAAUGAUUCUGUGAAUAUUUGCUUUAUUUAUUUCUCAUUCUAUAUCUAGUAACUGGAGAUUCUCAUAGAUAUAUUACUGUAACUGGAGGGUUUUUUUACCUCCAAAAGCACCAUGAAGCUCUCUCUGCUUAUAUAUCUGACUCAAAACUUCCCAGUGUCAUGCUUGUAAUUCAUCUUUUAUCAUGUGUCUCAACAUGUCUUUGACUCCAAAAGAUUGUGCUUUAUGCAUCUCAUAUCUUUCUUAUUUCCUGAAGUCUUUCAUAUCCUUAAAAUAAAUCACCUUAUGUCUUUAUUUCUGUGAGUUUUGAGCAAAGCAAAUCUUUUCAUACCUCUGCUCCUGCCAUGGCUGCUCUCCUAACAUGCUUCUGCUACCUGGAGAAUGUUAUUUCUCAGGUCCUGCACUAAGAGUUCUUGUUUUUCAGUUUUGCCACUGAGACUGCUGGCAAUAAUUUGUAGCAUUUCAAUUGCUUUCUACUGACCAGAAACUAAUUUCCUCAGCUGGAUUAAUCUCUCACUAUCAGUUUCAGCUAACUGGCUGGAGGUCUCAUCUGUAUGAGUACCUUCUGCUUACUAUCCAUUCUCCUGACCACUGAUAAUCUCUUAUCCACUGCUGUGCCUUAUCUAUCAGAUUUCUUUUCCCCUGUAUAUUAAGUCUACAAAAAGAUGAGUAGAAAGGUUAAUAAACAGAAUAUUAACCCUCAGCAGGGGAAGCAAGUAUUUUUACUUAGUUUAAAAAGUCAUUACAAAAUUUAAUUUUUAUGGAUUUGAACAAAUUUGAGGGAAAGGCAAAAAUGCUAUUAGUCAUAAACUCAACUUCUUUAACUGAAAAAAUAUGCUUUAGUGCAAAAUGAGAAAGUUUAGAAACUGCUGUUGAUCGUCAUCACCCCAUUUUGUUCUGUUUUCAGUUGUCAUGAAUUGACUCUGAGCACAAUGACAACUAAAGAAGGCUGUUUCCUUCAGGCAUUAUUUCAUUUAAACACCUUUCUGAAAUGAAUGUAUAGCAGGCAUCUGUAGAACAUAUGAAAGCCAGCUAUUACUGAGAUGCCUAAGAGGAUAUUUAGAGGACUGUAAAUAACUGAGAUGCCACCACUUCUUGAAAUACCCCUUGUAAGCAUUUUAUUCAGAUUUACUGCUGAGGUGCAGUAAAUGCAUAAGAUUUGUCCAUUGCAAGUAUAAGAUAAAAUGCACUAAUUUAUAUAACCUGAAGACUGUUUAAAAAUAAAGAAAUCAUUUGAAAUUUCAUUUAAACCUUUGUCCUUCAAGUUUUUGUUUAGUACUAUGAAGGGAAGCAUGGCUAUACCUUGCUUACAGGAAUAACCCAACAGGCUUAGAGCCAACUGGCUUACAAGACAAUAAAAUUUUGGUUUUUUAGUGAUGUUGUGUAACCCUUAACUGUUUUGAUGUAAUUUACAAUGGUUUAGCUUUAGUAUUUUUAAUUCCCCUUUUGUUGUUUGCUAUAAAAUUGAGGUGACGCGGAGUUACUAUUUGUUAAAUGAGCUAAAUGAGACAAGAGCUGCAUUAAUCAGCCAUUCAGAUACAAAACACUUCCUUACAUAUGCCUGUUGAUUUUCAUUACCUAAAUCUUCUUUUAAAGAUUUUAUUUCACUUUCUAAUUCAAAUAUUUGAUUGUUUUAAAACAAAAAAUAAUUUUAAAGCAAAAAGGAUUCUUACAGUACAGCAGUAUUUGUCUGGGAGAAUCUAGAGGUCCUGAAGUUGCUCAGACUCUUCCGAAUUAAGAUUUUGUACAAGGUUUUGCAAAGAACAUUUCAUUGUUACUGCAACCACCACAAAGAAUCCUCUCUCUUUUUGUGAAGCAGAUUUAAUCCACCCACUGCAAGUCUCUGAUGGUCACAGUGUGCUGUUUGACCUCUCCCUGUGCUUCUCUUUGAGGGGAGAAAGGCUCUGGCCCUGUCUGUUGCACUGCCAGCAGCUCCGCAGCUGCCCCUGCCCUGCUCGGCACAUAGAGCUGCCAGGAACCUGCUCCCUUCGCUGCUCAGAGGAGCACUGACCAACCUGUGUCAGCAAUGGGGGCUUUCCUCUUCUCCUUGCAACACCUUCACCCCAGAUACCUCAGAAUCACAGAAUAUGCUGAGUUGGAAGGGACCCACAAGGAUCACCAAGUCCAGCCCUGGCCCUGUACAGGCCAUCCCUCAGAGUCACACCAUGGGCCUGAGAGCGUUGUCCAAACACUUCUUGAACGUUGUCGAGCUUGGUGCUGUGACCACUUCCCUGGGGAGCCUGUUCCUGUGCCCAACCACCCUCUGAGUGAAGAACUUUCCUUUGUAAUAUCUGACCUAACCCUCCCUCAUGCAACUUCAGGCCAUUCCAUCACACUCGUAGGUUCUGGCCCAGCAUUAGACCACAUAGCUGCUAUGCUUUCACAUGCCUUGAUGGAAGCAUGAUACUCAACGACUUCAGGUUGCAACUACUUAAUAUAUUUGAGAGGGGAAGUGAAAGAAAAAUGAGCAUUUGUGCAGAAACACGAAAAUCUGGCUUGGAGAGUUUCAGUCCAAGGCUGAAAAGAAAGUAGGACAAAGUAAAUAACAGGUAUCUGAAAAUCUAUCUUGCUGGGAUGAUAAUUGUAAAUUGAUUAUGGUUCCUUGUUUCUACAGUAUUAACACAUGGGAAAUUACAUUUAAUAGUUAUUGUUUUUCUAAAAGGAUAAAGUUCACUUCAUGCUACAGUACAUUAAUAUAGUAGAACACUGCAUUAAUACUUUAAUUCAAUGUUUUACUAUUCUUUUAUUGCAGAGAUCUAUUAAGGUACAUAGCUUGGAUUUGCUAAGCUUUGUAGCAGCCUCUUCAUUAGUUUCAAUUUAAGUGAAUAUAUGUCUCUUGUGGUGCACUUUAAUUUGUGAAUUCAAAGUCAAAAAUAGUACCUGUGUUCCCUUCAAAACAUAAAUUACAUACACAAAGUUAGAUCCAAAGGAUUUACACAUAGUCAAACUCCCAAAUAUCAGCCUCUGUUUAAUGCCGGAGAUACUUGAAAAUUCCAGACGCAUCAAGUGCUGAUUCUAAUUUUCACUAAUUCUCCCAAAAUCAGCUUUUUGAUAAGCCCCAAAGCCCUGACAGAUAGUGCUGAACAGCUGGCUGUGUUGCUCACUCCCAAACUCUGACAGAUGCCCUCAGCAAAGGUAUUUCUCUUCCCUCAGAGGUCGUGCCUUGGCAAGCUCACUCGGGGCCUCGUGAAGGGAGUGCUCUUAGUUCACAGUCCAUGGCCGAGAGCACCAUCCAGGCUGGGGAAGAUGAAGGCAGCCCAAAAGGAGGCCAAAUGUUCAGGGGAACAGAUUGUCAAAAUAAAAAUGUAAACACUGAGAUCAUGGCCUCAGCUUACCUCCAAUUUUCUAGUCAGCCUCUGUUUAGUGCGAAUUGCUGAAUCACCAUCAAAAGACUAAAGAAGAUUUAUCUGAUAACAACAUUCCACCUAGUCUUCUGGACUAUUGGCUUAGACCAAAAAAUACUUGCCUGUUAUGGAAAAAUUUGAGCAUGUACAUGGUGAGGGUUUGGAGAGGAGAGGAAGAGGAUGGAGAGGGAAAUGGCAAAUCCUAUAUGAGUUUUUUUGUCCUAAUUGUGAAUAAAAAAAACUAGGUGUGCCUCUCAGGAACACAUAGUGCAGUCCUCUGAUACCUCACUGCUGCACCAAUUUGUGUGAAAGUCCUCCUCAACAGUUAAUCCUGGAAUUUAGUGCAGAUUCCUUUCUCUCCUGGCUCCAUAGGAUGAGUUCAGUAAUUUGUCUGAGACAGGAUUUUUAAAGAGCAACUCUCUUUGGUGGUGUGAGAGAGAGGCAGAGAGACACAUAUGCACUCUUGAGAUCUCCAGUGCCUCAGGGCAUUUCCUAUUUCUUGUAGCAGUGAACUUAUCUGUGCUCCUUCAGAGGGCAAAAAACAAGAUGAAAUAACUUCUACUUUAUCACCAGCCUCGGAAUGUUUCUGUGUUACCCUUUCCUGUCAACCAGUGAGGGCUGCAUUCUCCUUAGGAGUCCCAGGUGAUUAAAUACUGAUUUCUCCUAGACUUGAGAAAGCUGCUUUUGAGUUAGGAGUAUUAAAAGCUAAUCACAAGGAAUAGUCCUACAUGAGAAAUCUUCAGCAAUUUUCUGUCCUCAUUAUCAGUGGGAUAAUCAACUGAAUUAUCGAAUCAGCUUUUUUUCCAGACAAUGAGCUUUCUGAGGUAAACAAAACAAGGCAAAGGCUGUUCACUUUCCUCAGUGACUCCUCUGGGCCACCUGAAUUGCAUUUAUAGUCCUCAUUUUCCAAGAAGUCAGCACUCUCUCAAGUAACCUAAAUGGUCUGGCCACGGUUUUGAGAAUUGGUGGGAUCUAUUGCCUUCCUUCAUUUCCAGGUGUGCAGGGUGAGCUUUCUAAUUCUGAUCAAGAGAAUCCAGGCAGAGCAUGCAUCUAGGUCACACAGAAAACAUGCAUUUGUGCUUGUAUAAAAUGUAUUUGUCUAAGCUGUUAAACAGUGUAAAAUUCAAGGUGUUCAUGUAUCUCAGUGAAGCAGGUUAGUAUUAUUCAACACUAUUCUACAAAUAAGUUCUUUAAAAAUUUUGCCAUUCUAGUUCUCUGGGGGUUCACUUUCCUAAUGAAUUUCAGAGAACAUGUCCCACAUCUGUGAGUGACUCCCACAUCUGUGAGGUACAUUUAGCACAUUAAUUCCCACUGAAAAUGAGAGGUAUUUUGAUGUAUGAAUUCUUUACGAGCUUUUCCAAUGUGUAUCCUAAAUAACUUGCUAGAGGUCACAAAGGGAUUAUUAUUUUGUGAAAUUAAGAAUGUUGCUUUUAUUUCCAGCCAUUACAUCUGAUAUUCUUACCACCUCCAAAACUUGCCAGCAAUUCUAACAUUCCUCAGAAAAUUAUUUCUAGUGAUACUUUAGUGUAAACCACUUCUGUUUUCUGAUGUUGCUGUCGAUUAGCACAACUCAAAUCUGUUUUGCAGAGAACCUAACUUUUAAUGAAAGCUUUGUGAAGACAGAGAAUUUUUUUUUUAAUGAAUGCAAUGUUUGUAACAGUUCACAGCAGAGAGAAAUCACUUAUAUUCUUUUGUCUUAUUUUUAGCAGAUACAUAAUGAUCUCUGGUUAUGUCUUGGAAGGCCCUCAUGCACCUGACCCCUCUCUCCAUGCACUUAAAUAUAUCCAAUUUAUUUUAUCCUGUGAUAUUCUGGAUAAUUAUGAGAUUAUUUAGAAUAUGUAGCAUGUGCAAUAAGCAAAUGUUUUUUGAAUAAUUCCAGAGUUACAUUAUUCUAAGGCUGUACAUGAGCCCAAAAAGCAUCACAGAUCUAAACUGUUUGGAGAGAUGGUAUAAGAGAGGUGAGUUAGAAGUCUAGCCUUUACUCCCAGGGAAGCCAGAAAGAGUCUGUCGAGGUUUUAAACUACAGUGAGGUUUUUGAGCUGCAGUUAAUUUAGAAUGAGUCAAUGAAAAUUCUAGACAAGCUCAAAUACUGAUGAGAUUGGUGCAGUUUAGUUAAAACCAUACAGUAGGAAAGAUAAUUUGGAUUAUAAAUUAAUUUUUAUUAACUGAGAUGAAGAUAUGUCUAAUGCUCUCAGAGAAGUUCCGGAUUAAAUGGCAAUUGAGUGACCAGGCAAGCAAGCAGCCCAGAGCUGGGACAGUAGAUGUCUGAUGUGCAGCAUUCUUGGUUUUUUGAGGCCAUGGUAUGUCUGUGGCACUGCAAGAUAACGCACCCACAGCUGUCCUUCAGAAACCUGCACACCUAACAACAUGGCAUCAGGGAGUACAUGGCAUCAGUUGUUAUGAUGUCCUUACAAUCCUGUUUGUGCUUUGUAGGUUCCCUGUGUGUGGUGAUUCAGGAGAAACCAAACUGCGCUUAGAGAGAAGAGGUCAAUGUUGGGCAGCAGGACUGGCCGUGGCCCUGGAGGAAAAGGUGGAUUCUGGAAUGUGAACAAAACUAAGUCCUGCUUUCCCAAACUAUCUCAGCUUUGAUUAGAUAUUUUGUACUUCUCAGAAUAAUACAACUGCAAAUCAUCUUCAAGAGACGAAGACUUAAUUCUGGCUAAUACUGCUACUCCUCAAAGGAUGAAUCUGAAGAGCAAGAAGGGUUCCAUUUGUCAUGUCCUGAUUGCUGCAUUCUUUGUCAAACACAACUUUCUAAAAGAAUCUGGAAGGAAUUGACUCCUUUGUGGUAACAGCUGGAAACAUUUAGAGGAUAAUUCUUCAGAGUGCAAGUUGAAGCAGGCUGAGGUAGAUUGAGAGUAAAUUCAAAGUUAUCCUUGCAGGUCUUAUUACAGCCCAAAUAAAGGUUGCUGGAUGAAAUCAA
Zonotrichia albicollis (white-throated sparrow) is the source of this 7088-nucleotide non-coding RNA. The record is from RefSeq and is a predicted model, not a curated record. Lineage: Eukaryota; Metazoa; Chordata; Aves; Passeriformes; Passerellidae.